CGGACGGGUGAGUAACGCGUGGGUAACCUGCCUCAUACAGGGGGAUAACGGUUAGAAAUGACUGCUAAUACCGCAUAAGCGCACAGUACCGCAUGGUACGGUGUGAAAAACUCCGGUGGUAUGAGAUAGACCCGCGUCUGAUUAGCUAGUUGGUGAGGUAACGGCCCACCAAGGCGACGAUCAGUAGCCGACCUGAGAGGGUGACCGGCCACAUUGGGACUGAGACACGGCCCAG
Molecule: ribosomal RNA, 235 nt
Filed under: uncultured bacterium
Lineage: Bacteria
Description: partial 16S ribosomal RNA
Rfam family: Bacterial small subunit ribosomal RNA
Source: RNAcentral